GACGAACGCUGGCGGCGUGCUUAACACAUGCAAGUCGAACGGAAAGGCCCUUCGGGGUACUCGAGUGGCGAACGGGUGAGUAACACGUGGGUGAUCUGCCCUGCACUUUGGGAUAAGCCUGGGAAACUGGGUCUAAUACCGAAUAUGAUCAUCGGCUUCAUGGUCGGUGGUGGAAAGCUUUUGCGGUGUGGGAUGGGCCCGCGGCCUAUCAGCUUGUUGGUGGGGUAAUGGCCUACCAAGGCGACGACGGGUAGCCGGCCUGAGAGGGUGACCGGCCACACUGGGACUGAGAUACGGCCCAGACGCCUACGGGAGGCAGCAGUGGGGAAUAUUGCACAAUGGGCGCAAGCCUGAUGCAGCGACGCCGCGUGAGGGAUGACGGCCUUCGGGUUGUAAACCUCUUUCAGCACAGACGAAGCGCAAGUGACGGUAUGUGCAGAAGAAGGACCGGCCAACUACGUG
RNAcentral lists this ribosomal RNA (462 nucleotides) under uncultured bacterium. RNAcentral's name for it is "partial 16S ribosomal RNA". It matches the Rfam family "Bacterial small subunit ribosomal RNA", at positions 28 to 507 of the family's 1533-position model. The record is from RNAcentral.